AGCAGCCGCGGUAAUUCCAGCUCCAAUAGCGUAUAUUAAAGUUGUUGCAGUUAAAAAGCUCGUAGUUGAACCUUUGGCCUGGCUGGCAGGUCCGCCUCACCGCGUGCACUUGUCCGGCCGGGCCUUCUCUUCUGGAGAACCGCAUGCCCUUCACUGGGUGUGUUGGGGACCAGGACUUUUACUUUGAAAAAAUUAGAGUGUUCAAAGCAGGCCUUUGCUCGAAUACGUUAGCAUGGAAUAAUAGAAUAGGACGUGCGGUCCUAUUUUGUUGGUUUCUA
This 278-nucleotide ribosomal RNA is filed under the name Glomeromycota sp. RNAcentral's name for it is "partial small subunit ribosomal RNA". It matches the Rfam family "Eukaryotic small subunit ribosomal RNA", at positions 569 to 853 of the family's 1831-position model. The record is from RNAcentral. Lineage: Eukaryota; Fungi; Glomeromycota.